GCAUUCGUAGCUUAACUGGAUAGAGCACUGGGUUCCGAACCCAGCGGUUGGAGGUUCAAGUCCUCUCGAGUGCA
RNAcentral lists this transfer RNA (74 nucleotides) under bacterium. RNAcentral's name for it is "tRNA-Arg". It matches the Rfam family "tRNA". From Rfam's summary of the family: Transfer RNA (tRNA) molecules are approximately 80 nucleotides in length. Their secondary structure includes four short double-helical elements and three loops (D, anti-codon, and T loops). The record is from RNAcentral.